This is a non-coding RNA of Anopheles epiroticus, 83 nucleotides long. Lineage: Eukaryota; Metazoa; Arthropoda; Insecta; Diptera; Culicidae. The record is from Rfam.
GGCCGACAAAACCCUCUCCCAACCUCCACGUGGUGUCGGCUGGAAAGUGCCUCAUGUAAUGUUGCAUUUACCAACUGGGAAGG